This 15876-nucleotide long non-coding RNA is filed under the name Ananas comosus (pineapple). RNAcentral's name for it is "long non-coding RNA (ACOM_LNC018660)". The record is from RNAcentral. Lineage: Eukaryota; Viridiplantae; Streptophyta; Magnoliopsida; Poales; Bromeliaceae.
GGGCUGGGCCCAGCCCACGAAGAAGUCGAAGACGACGGCGCAGACGGGCCUGGGGUGGGCCCGGGCCCAGGAGACGAGCGGGCCGUGGAGGGAGGCGAGGGCGAGCAUCAGGAUGCCGAAGUAGGUCGGGGCCAUGUCCUUGGCGUUCUCGAGGCCCGGGGCGAGGGAGGGGUGGGAGAGGGGGAGGGAGAGGGGCUGGAUGGAGGGGGACUUGGAGAGGAGAGGGGAGAGGAGGGGGAGGUUCCCCGAGCUCACGGCCACGGUCACGGCCACGCCGCGCCUCGCGAGGAGGUGGGCGAGGUCGAAGAGUGGGAGCAUGUGCCCCUGCGCCGGGAACGGUAUCACGAGCAAGUGGGGAGCUCCGUCGUGGGUUUCCGCCAUUGUUGACACACAGAAUCUCGCUCUCUCCCUCUCUCUCUCUCUCUGUCCCACCCCCCACUCUUCCCCCACUACACGUAGGAGGAAGUAAGGUGCGGUGUUCCUCUCCGUAAUCUUUUAUAAUUAGAUAUACAGAGGGGGCUUGGACUCUUUGACUAAAAGCUCAAGCGGUGGGCGGAAAAUAUAUAAAAGCUAAGAUAUAAUACGCAUGGGUCCCCCGGCCCAAUGCUGACGUAACCAGUGACGGUCUGAUCGGCGACACGUGGCAUAUUGUGAAUGGACAAGGUGAUGUAGCUGAUGCAGAUUUGCCGAAGUUAUUCAUGUGUAAUUGGUUAAAGAAGGCGACAAAGUCCAUUAAGGAGGAAAAAUUCUAGAAUGCAACGGGUAUAUUAAUGACGUGGCGUAAAAUACCAAUCAAAUUAAUUUUUUUAAGAAUAUAUGUUCCAUCAUGAUUGUAAAAAAGUAUUUUUAUUAUAUUUUUAUUUAAAAAGAAGGAAUAUGAUUGACUUGUUAUUGAUGACGUGGUGCAAGUGUGACAGUGUAGAAUUCCUCAUUAAGGAGAAAAUCCCUACAGGAUGUUUUUUUUUUUAACCCUUCCUUGGAGGAUCCAAUUUGCCAAUUUCUUAGCAGUGUCAUGUUAAAAAAAAAAAAACAAACAAACAAACAAAUUCUGCAUAUAAAACUAUCUUAUUGUUUAUUAAUAAUAAAAUAUAUUCGAGCUAUUCUACCAUCUUUGCAGGUGCAAGUCAACUUACCUUGUUGUUUGGAUAAAUUUUGUAUUGGUAAUUUCAGAGAAAAUUAUAUAAUUUUUGAAAAAAAAAUUAUAUUUUACUUCUCAAAAUCUAACAUUCUACUUUAAGGUUUUGUUGCAUCAAGAGUCUUUUAGCAACAUAUUUUGGUCCUUAAUUACCUCAUUACUUUUUGACUAGUUAGAUACCAAAUAAGCACAAGCAAAAAUAGAGAGAGAAAAAUUCAACAGAAUGAUGUAAUUAAAAUUUCUAAAACCUCUUACUUACCCUGUAAGUGACUUCUCCCCCUCUUGUAUAUUAGCGGCAGAUUUAAAAUUAAGUGAUGCACAUCUCUCUCUCUCUCUCUCUCUCACACACAAGAGUAAAAACUAAGUAAUUUAUAUCAUAAAAAAUGUUACCACACAUACAUUUAUUAUCCAGAAAUUGACAAUACACAGUACAAAACACAUACAAAUAUCACCCAACAACACACAACGAAAGAGAUUAAUCUGACAACACUUUGGCCUACAUAAUUUAGAAACAUAAUGGUUACUUAGACACAUCCAUUCUAACGCCCGAUAAGCUCUUGAAAAGCUCAAAAAUGAUUUAAUAUUCAAAUUUCUUAAAAUAUUGGAAGGGGUCUGUCUCGGACCACUGCAUUUCCAAACUAGCUGGGCGUACAACGAAAAGUAUGUGAUUGGAUUAGAUGGGGAUCGCACGGGAGACGGAGGGGUAGACGACUCUCGCGGGAUGGUCCAUGAUGCGGCGGCCCUUCAUGUGGCGGAAGAUGUACACCACCGCGCCGACGGGCCACUCCACCACCGCCGCAGCCGCCGCUGCGACCAACCCCAGAGUCGGCCCCACCACCUUGCACCGGCAAGGGUUGCUCCUCGUCCCGCACUGCACGCACCCGAAGUUUCGCAUCAUUUUACUCGACUGGUUCGAUCGAAUUGAACUAGAUGCUCUUCUUCCUAUCGACGUUUAUGGAGAGCAAUUUUGGAGAGUGUGAUGAGUUGAACAGAGAGAAUUUGCUGACCCUUAUAUAGACUCGAGGGCGAGACACGUGGCGCGCUGUGGUGGGUUAUGUGGAUCGCUACGUGUUGAACUACGAGAGAUGUGAGGCGAGUGUUGGCUCGCACGGGGAAUAGCGAUUUCACACGUGUAGCACCCGUUUCUUUGGAUCAUCACGAAGUGUGCAACGGACAAAUCGCUAAUGGUAAUAAAUAAAUAGAAGGGAAAAACGUAUGAGAGUCACCAAACUUUAAAAUUUUAUAAUUGCAUGUUUUAACUUUUGUAAAAUAAUUUAAUAGAUUUUCAUUCUCUUUUUAAUGCAAAAAUAUUAAUUAAGCAAAAGUUUUUGCUCCCGAGGCCUACUUCUCCGAUUUAAUGUUUGAAAAUUAAGUAUCGUAUUUAAAAAGUGGGAUGAAACGAUCUCCCUUUUUUUUUUUUUUUUCCCAUGCACAGAAAAAAUAGAAUUUUAAGUCUACUUAAAAAAAGUGGCCACCGCAUAUAAUUAUUUAGUAAAGUUUAGGAGAUAUAAUCGUCAAAAUUUAGAAUUCAGAAGUCUAUUUAUAAAAGUGCUAAGUUUUAAGGAGUGUUUGUACUUUUUUAAAAAAAAUAAUAAUUGGUGUGGAUAAGAGUUCUGAUAGAGCUUGAACUGGAUGAGAAUAGCCCAGACACUUGUUGGGCCUAAAGCACUCCUGAAGUUCAAAUAUGGCCUAAGUAGCCCUGGGCCCAACAGAAACAGUAGUAGCCCAUUAACUUUCAUUAUUGAGGUGUACUUAGGUGUGUAACGGCCAGGGGUCGGCCCCGCCCGGCCCGGAUUCACAUCCGAGCCGUGCCGUGGUGGGCCGGAUGCAAUCAACCAUCCGGCCCAUAACGGCCUCCAGGCCCGGAAGGUCUGGGCCCGGCCAGGCCGUGCCGGGCUUCGGGUUAAUCCUUUAAAAUUUUUAUUUUUUAUAAAAAAUAAAAAUUUUAAACUAUGAUCAAUUAAGUAUUUCGAUUUAAAUCAUAUUUUGAUUGAAAAUUUUCAAAUUUAUAAAUAUUUUAAAUUUUUUUAAAAAAUUUAAUAAAUAAUUUUAUAAUUAUUUUGAAUAUAAAUUUAAGUUAGCUUUUGAUUCAUUAGACCAAACAAUUUAGUCCAAUAGACCAAAAAUCCUCUCUUCCAAGGUCUACCACUGCAAACCUUGAGAGGAGAGCUCAUGAGGAGAAGGGCUCCCCCGGAGCUCGUCAUGCUGGCCCGGUCGGCACGGCCCAAGUGGGCUGUGCCGGGGCGGGCCGUGUUGGGCCGGGCCGUCUGCUUACCUCCGGCUCAGCACAGCCUGGGCCCAUUACGUGUCGAACCAUGUCGGGCCGUCGGACCGAAAAGUUUAGGCCCAACAGGCCCGAACUAUCGGGCCGGGCCAGCCCGACACAGGUACUACAGUAUCCGUGCCGUGCUGUAGCUUGGCCCAAGGGGCCGUCCGGCCCGUUUUACAUCCCUGUGUAGUCCAUCGGAUCAACCACACAUAUAUAUAUGUAAGGUGGCAACAUCACAAUUUGUGUAAGUUUGGAGGCAUGAAUAUGUUGAUCGGUAAUAUACGUCGUGCUUAUUUAAGCAGUAUGUAGUAGCAUAUGGUUGAGGCAAGCAAUAAUAGAUAUCAAUACCAUAUUAUUGUUCAUUAAAUUAGUUUCUUCAAAUAUGAUAAACUGCGUAGAAGCCGAUAGAACUCAAAAAGUUUGAUUUCCAAUUCACAAAAAAAAAAACUACGAGAAAGUCGACGUUUUACCAAAUAACUUAUUCCAAUAACUAGAUAGAAAUUACUUGAAGUGGAACUCUUCAUUCAACAGAUACAAGAGGCUUACAAGGGUAAGUAAUAUUAGUUAAUUAAUAAGUUAUUAAUUGUGAAUUAAUGCGAAAUAAUUGUUUGUUUCUAAUAACUUAAGCUAGCAAAGAGCCAAAGAAUACUAUUUUUAUAUUUUUUAGUUAACAUUUCUUCAAGAUUUUUAAAUAAACCUAAAAUGUAAAUUUAAUUAAAUGAAAAAAAUUAAAUAAUGUUAGAAAACUAACGAGAUUCAAAUUCAGAACUUUCAUUCUGAUAUUAUAAAAAUAAUAUAAAAUAAUUAUUUUUAAGGGUUAUUUGCAUACAGGUCCCUGCAAACAUAGUGAAUUGCGGAAAUAUCCCUGCAAAACGGAAACUCCAUAAGUUGUCCCUGCAAAAGUCCUAAGUUAUGCAGAUAUGUCCCUGCCGUCCAGAUCUGUUAGAAAUUUUUCGUUAACCACGGUUAAAAUACUUAACCAUGGUUAAUUAUAGUGUAAAUUGACGUAUUUACCCUUCUUCCUCUUCCUCCUCUUCCUCUUCCUUCUUCUUCGUCGCCGGCGAGGAGAUGCGGCGGCGGCGGCGACGGCGGCGGCGGCGGCGACGACGAACCCUCUUACUUUUCCUCUUCCCUCUUCCUCUUUUCCCUUCUUCUUCCUUCUUCUUUCUUCCUCUUCCUCUUCCAUCUUCUUCGUCACCGGCGAGGGAGAAGAGUCUCGUCGGGGUCGGCCUCCGAAAGGCGGGCGAGAAGCUCGAGGGCGUUGUUGUCAACAAGGGCGGCGACGAGGGCGUGCGCGGGGUCGUCGUGGUCGCCGAGGACGUCGGUGUCGGUGAGGUCGGUGAGGAGGGAGACGACGUCGACGGCGAUGUCGGCGAUGUCGUGGCCGAGGAGGCCAACGAGGGAGAGGACGGCAUUGAGGGCGACGAGCUCCGGGUAGAGAGCUCCGGUGCCCCGGCGUUCUUCCCUCUUCUUCGUCGCCGGCGAACCCGACCCCGCGCCGCCGCCGCCGUCGUCCGCUUCGAUGAUCCAAAGAGAAAGAGAAAGAGAAGGGAAGAGGAAAACUUUUAGAGGAAUAUAUUUGUGAGGGUAAAAUGGUCAUUUCACGAAUCCACUGUUAAAAAAUAAACAGAUCACUAACGGAUGUUAACCGGAGGGACAUAUCUGCAUAACUUACGACUUUUGCAGGGACAACUUAUGGAGUUUCCGUUUUGCAGAGAUAUUUCCGCAAUUGGCUAUGUUUGCAGGGAGCUGUAUGCAUUUGACCCUUUUUUUAAAUAGUUUAAACUAGUAAAGAAGAAUAUUUUUAUUUUUAUAUUUAACACUAUAUGAAAUUAUCAAUCGUUCUUGUGUUAAAAGACAGAAUAAUUGAUAUUUAAGUAUUUAAAUUUUAAAAAUAAUUACUUCGUACUUUCCGAAACUACAAUACGGAAUUAACCUGUUGGUUUAUUUAUUGGGUCCUGUGGCUUUUGUAGUAUUGUCAGAUGAGAAGAAGAGAGAGUUGUACGAUGCAGGAUUUUAUGGUCCGAUUCAACACGACGAAGACGAGGUCGAGGUAAGAAACAUUUCUACAAUUGGAUCUUUGAAGCGCUAUUUCCUCUUAUAUCAAUAGAAUGACUCAGAAUUUAAAAUACUAAAAUAAGUAUUUUUGGAGUAUGGAUAUUGAAGGAGAAACUAUAUUUUAUUAAUUAGAACACGGGAACAUUGAGCAGCUCCGUAAUUAGACUCAAAACUCAAAGCUAGCAUCCUGCCAUACGGCGAAGGAUAUGUUGGGCCGAAUCAUUUUUGAAAUGAUGGAAGGCCGGAUUGGAUCGAGUCGCAAACGAAACUAACGGGUGUUGUGUCUGUGCUUUCUAAGUAAAUUGAUAACAUCUUUUAAGAGCUCGAGCUUUUGAGGUUUUGCACCAACGAUUCGAUACGUGGCAUAAGAGUCAGAAAUAAUGGCUUCAAUUCGUAGCAUGACCCAACCUGACCUAACAAUCCUCUCCGUAGCACCUACAAAAUUUCACAGCAUGCCAGUAUCGAACUCGCAAUCUCUGACUCUUAUACUACUUAUCAGAUCGUUGGCGCUAAAUAUUAAUUAUAAAAAUUCAAAAUAUUAGAAAAAUAUAACUAAUUCAUUUAAAGUAUAAGGCACAAUGCAUACGGGUCUCGAUUUUGGCUUGGAUUUUGCCGCUUUGAAUAUAGCUCGGCCAUAUCUGAUCUCAUGCCAUUUCAAACGUGAAUCGGCCUAAUCUGGUCUCGCAUCACAAGGCAGGAUACUAACUCCUUUGAACCAACUCUGCAUGAAAGCUUCUUAUAUAUGAUUAAGUAGUUGAUGCACCAAAAUCUAGCUAUUUAGUAAUUAGAUGAAUCCUACUAACAUUCUAUAACCAAUGGAUAAAGAAAUAUCCACUCAAAUAAUAACUCAAAUAUUUUGUUAAAAUUUUAAAUCGAUCGCUAAUAGAAUUUCAAUUUAAACUCUAAUCAAGUUUGGAUUACUACUCUCAACAUUAAAGAUCUUUAUUUUCUCAUGUAAGGUGGAUUCAUUAAAAAUAAAAGAUAUUAUUAACAUAUCUAAAUUUACAAUUUGCGGUUUACACUCUUCAAUGAAUCUACUUAUUUUCAGUCAAUUCAAGGUAACUAGAUUCAGUGCAUAUAUUUGUUACAAUUAAGUACUCUAGAUCUAUUAAUAUUAUUUUUUUUUAAGGAAAAAAAAACAUGCUAACCGCUUCGUUUAUUUUUUUAUAAAAAUAAAUUUAGAUAGAAAUAUGAAUCAAUUAGAAUUCGAACUUAAAAUUUCGAGUACCAACCAUCAAAUUUUUUGUCAAUUAUGCUAGCUCUAUUAAUAUAUUACUAGAUGAUUACGUAAUUACUGAUUUUUCUUUUUUUCCGAAGGGCUUUCAUGAGUUUUUUCAAGAAAUGCUUCUUCUUAUGGCUAAAGUGAGGAGAGAGGUACGUAAUUUCCAUUCCAUCAAAAGUAUUUCGUUGUUUUGAGUAAUUGCUUACUGUUUAAUUUAGGCCUAUCUUAUAAGUAAAUGCCAUUCACAAAUUUGGAACACCUCUUUAGAUAUUUUUUUUUUGGAUAACUUAAAAUGACGGUGAAAAUCCGAAGAAAAAUUAUUCGGUUGCUAGCGAUUUUCACUAUCAUUUAAAGAGAAAAAAAGUUUUCUAAAAUAUUUUACUACGGUGGUUAUUAGAGGUGACGAAUGAUAUAUGAUCGAACAAUGAUUGCUCACAGGAGAGGAAAUACAGUUUAGCGGAGUUACAGCAAAUGUUGGUUGAGAUGGCUUGCAGUUUUGCGCCAUCUCCUCCUCCUAGUAAUGGGUUCGCCGCCGGAGUAUCGACCGUAGAUGCGGGAAGAUUCGGCAAUGGUGCAGAUCGAAUGGCGGAAAUUAAAUCCGGUGUUCGUGUGUCGGGUGUAGGGAGAUUGGGGAGCACAGGCUCUUACUAUGUGUAGCACUUGUCCUGAUAUAGAGAUGUUGUGUGUAAAAAUAUUUUUGUAGUUGGAUGAGUUAAUUUUGCAAAUAGUGGAGUUAGAAAUUUUGGGUUUUUGUGAUCGAAAAUAAGAAGGGAACUUCAAUUAGGUUUAUUGAGGUUUAGCGGUUUUUUAGUUUGCUAUUCUGUGGUUUAAAAUAUUUUAUUAUUUUAUUUUAUAGUAUUGUUCGUGGAAAUCUGACAUCAAGAAAAAAUUGGUAAAUUAAGGAAUGAUUGCAAUUAGCCCCUUGAAAAAAAUUAUUUUAAAAAUAGUUUCAGCAAAUUUAAAUUUGCAAGAAUGCCCAUGAUCUUACCAUGCAGGCGUCACAUCAGGGCCACGUGGACGGGUUGGGGUGUUAAAUUCAAACACGGUGAAUGAUUCACCGUGUAUCAUACUUAUCUUUUCAUAAUACGUAUAUUUUUUUUUUCUUCCCUUUUUCCAGACACAGACACGGUGAAUGGUUUACCGUGUUUAACUUAAAUAUCUAAUCCAGCCCGGCCCGCAUGGUGCUGACGUGGCGCCUACGUGGCAGGGCCAAGAUUAUUUUUGUAAAUUUAAAUUUAUUGGGACUAUUUUUAAAAUAAAUUAUUUUCAAGAGGCUAAUUGCAAAAAAAAGCCCCUGUUUGCAUAAAAAUAUAAAGAAAGUAAAAUAAUACAUGUGUCAGAUUGUGGUUGAUAAAAUGAAUCGCUUAGAAUCACGCAGUUUAUAAAUUUUAAUAUUUUUUAGUGUUACCGGCCGUUCCUAUAACAAGUGACAAAGAACUUGAUAAUUGGUAUCCAAAAUUUCAAAUUUGAAUUCUAAUUGAUUCACAUUUCUAUAGUAUACUACCUAUCUCUAAAAAAAAAAAAAAAUUAGUGUUGUAUCUUUAGGUCUUUACAUCUUUACAGUAGGGAUGCUAAUUCAACUCGUUGUUCACAAGUCAACUCGUGUUCGACUCGAAAUGAAAUCAAAAUUGAAUCGCUCGUUUAACAAACGAGCCAAAUACGAGCUGAAUUUUUCAGCUCAUUUAAUAAACAAGGCGAACACGAGCUAGGGUCAUCUCGUGUUCGGCUCGAUAAUAAUUAAAAUUAAGCUCGUUUAAUAAACAAGCCGAACANAAUUUUUAGUCAAAAAUAUAUAUAUAUAAAGCCGAGUUCAAUUAUAAAGACUUAUCUAUACUAAUCUAUGAAUCCCCAAUAUCUUGCUGACAUGGCAUUACCUCCUUCUUGCUGAUAUCGCUUCAAAGAAAAAUUAUUCGUCGAAUGUUUUUUUGGUUGCUAGCGAUUUUCACUAUCAUUAAAAGAAAAAAAAAGUUUUCUAAAUUAUUUUCGAACUGCAUUAGUUAUUAGAGGUGACGAAUGACGUAUGAUCGACCAAUGAUUGUUCACGGGAGAGGAAAUACAGUUUACCGGAAUUACAGCAAAUGUUGGUUGAGAUGGCUUGCAGUUUUGCGCCAUCUACUCCUCCUAGUAAUGGGUUCGGCGCCGGAGUAUCGACCGGAGAUGCGAAAAGAUUCGGCAAUGGUACGUGCAGAUCGAAUGGCGGAAAUGAAAUCCGGCGUUCGUGCGUCAGGUGUAGGGAGAUUCGGCAGCACCGGCUCUUAUUAUGUGCAGCACUUGUCCAGAUUUAGAGAUGUUGUGUGUAUAAAUAUUUUUGUAGUUAAUUGGAUGAGUUAAUUUUGGGAAUAGUGAAGCUAGAAAUUUUGGGUUUUUGUGAUCGAAAAUAAGAAGGGAACUUCAAUUAGGUUUAUUGUGGUUUUGCGUAUUUUUAAUUUGCUAUUUUGUGGUUUAAAAUAUUUUACCAUUUUAUUUUAUAGUCUUGUUUUUGUUUGGUUGUGGAAAUCUGACAUCAAGAAAAAUUUUAAAAUGCUAAAAUUGGUAAAUUAAGGGAUGAUAACGUAAUAUAUUUUACAAAUUAUAAGAUGUUUGUAUAUGCUAGUGUUGUUCACCUUUUAAGUUGAUAGAAACGUAUAGUAUUUAUCUGAGGUAAUUUUAAAUUUGACUAUUUAAUCAAAAUAUUUAUUUUAUUAUCAGUCUUUAAAUCUAUUUGACUUUGAAACUUAAGUUCCUUUUCUAUUUUAAUAAAUUUUAUAGUUACGAAACUUACAUCAAAUACUUAGUGUAUUUGAUGUAAGUUUCGUAACUAUAAAAUUUAUUAAAAUAGAAAAGGAACUUAAGUUUUGAAGUCAAAUUAUCGUUUACUUAUUCAAAUUAAAUGAUAUGACAGUAAAAUUUAUUUUUUGAAAUAUCAGAUUGUAGAUUCAAAAUAAUUUUUACCUUUUAUUAUCAUGUGAGAUUGGAUUGAUGUCCGGUUUUGUUUAGACCUGGGCGAAACUCUGGGCUGGGCUGGGCCUGAUUGUGGGCUUGGAUUUGUUGGCUGGUCUGAGGCCGGAUCGGCCCAGUAUAUAUUUUUAUAUAUGUAUAUUUGUAUAUAUAAAAUUCAGAAUAUUCAUGAUUUGAAUUGUAAUUUUUCUACUGUACCCCAAGAGGUAAAGUAAGUGGCAUUCCUUCUUGGAAAGGCUAUGGGCCAAUGAUUUAAAACACGGUUCGAACUGGCAAGUUUGAUCAGUCUGAUCGUAGCCUAGUUUAUGAAGUGAUUCUGUUCAACUCUUUAAACUAAAUAAGUAAAAAAAUUACUUUAAACCGUUUGAAUCAGGUUAGGUGGUAUAUAUAUAACUGAUAAGCGCAAGAAAGUGAUUUUUUGGUCUUUUCGGUCUUUUUUUGAAUUCUUGGAAGCAGUUUCACCCUCUUUUCCAAAUCUUUGGUCUUUUCUUGAAAUUUUGGAGGGAGCUAUGUGCGUGACAUAGGGAUGUCAAUGGAUAUGGAUAUCCGAAAUUUUAUCUGAAUCCGAAUCCGAAUAAAACGAAUAUAUCCGAUAGAUAUGGAUAUGGAUUGGAAUAUAGAUUCGGAUAUGAAUAUCAAAAUUUAAAACCCGACGAAUAUGAAUUCGGAUAUGGAUUUUAAUUGUACCCAACCCGAAUCCGAACCCGAUCCGAACCCGAAUUUAUUUUGUAUUAUAUAUAUAUAUAUAUAUAUAUAUAUAUAUNAAUAUAAUAUAUUUUGAAAUAUUGAAAAAAGAAAUAAUUGUUUCGGGUUCAAAUUUUCGGGUUCGGAUUCGUGUUUCGGAUUUUUGAUCGGAUUCGGGUUUGAAUAUAGAUUAUUAAAAUCCGUCAGGUUCGGAUUCGGAUUUUCAAAAACCCGCCCCGAAUCCGAUCCGUUGACAUCUCUAGCGUGACGGCACGUUUACCACCCUCAUGAAAACAAAUGCUUUAUUUAAUUAUCUCGCGCACUCCUUUUUUUUUCUAUAAUAACGAAUUAAUAAAAAGAGUAUUAUUACAAGAGUGUUGGAACCUAUUCAACUAAGAUAUGAUUAGAUCACUUCACCAUCUAAUAAUAUUGAAGGGUUUUUAUUCAUUUUCAGUGGGAGACAACUCUUUUCACGCAUCAAUGCUUCUGAGAAAUGCUAUCAUAUAGAUUUUCAAUGAGUUUGUAUUAAAAAAUACCAGAUGAGUUUUGGCUCCCUUCACUGUGUAAAAAAAAAAAAAAAGUUUAGAAGGUCUAGAUCAUGUACAAUAAUACUGAUCAUUGAUUUGAGAAUUUUAUCAUCGAAAAUAAAUCGAUAGUAAAUUAAGCAGUUUUCUAUUAAUAGUAUUUCUAGUUUAUAUAUAUAUAUAUAUAUAUAGAGUUUUGCUAGAAUACUAUCGGUAGUAAACGAGCCAUUUUACUACUCAUUUAUUUUCAAUGAUAGAACUUUCAAAUUGACGAUCGGCUCCGUUGAACAUGAUCUAUACCACUUGAAAUGUUUAGAACUUAAAUUUUAAAUCUUUUCGACAUCAUUUGCCUAAUGAUCAAAGGAUUUCAAAAUUUGUAAUUUUAAUGGUCGAUAAGAGGCGUUUUCUCGUUUAACGGCGUAAAGAUAUCAAAAUCAAUUAAAUUUUUGUUAGAAAAUUCUUUAAACUAUUUAAAACAAGAUCUAUACUCUUGAUCUUGAUUACAAGACUCCUAUCAUCAUUUUUUAAAGAGUAUUCAUUUUCAGCCUUUUAUUUUUCUGUUCAUUUGAUGAAUAAAAGAACAAUAUCGAAAGUGCAUGAAAUUUGAUUUCUAGGUAAUUUAAAUGGUUUAGAUCAUAUUUAACGAAGCCGAUCGUCAAUUUGGAAGCUCUAUCAUCGAAAACAAAUCGAUAUUAAACGUCUUGUUUACCUACCGAUUAGUAUUCUAGCUCAAGUAUAUAUAAGUAUUAUGAUAUUAUAUAUAUAAUAUAUAUAUAUAUAUAUAUAUAGAGUGCUAGGCUACUAUAUUAUCUAUAGUACCGAGCUCCGGUACUAUAGUGUUUGCUUUCGAUCUUUAGGGGCGUGUUCAAAUCAACGAUCCACACCGUUAAAACUGAUCUAGGGAUUUAAAGUUUCUAGAAAUAAAAUUUUAUAUUUUUUCGACAUAGUUUACCUGUAUGAUCAACUAUUUCAAAAUUGUCAAUUUUCAAUGACUAUUAUGGCGAGUUGGAGUUUACGUGUAAAAGAAUCUAAAUUUCUUCAAAUUUUGAUAGAAAAUACUUUAAAAUAUAUAGAUUAAAGUAACAUUCUGAUCUUGAAUUUAAAAGUUCUAUGCUCAAAUUUUAAAAAUUAUUCAAUUUCCACCGUCCAUUUUGAUAUAAUUUAUUUACUAAAUAAACGAUAUCGAAAAAAACUAAAUUUUAUUCCUAAGAAAUUCAUAUACCUUAGAUCAUAUUUAACGUGUGGAUCAUUGAUUUGAAUGCCCUAAGAUAAAAACAAAACACUAAUAGUACCGGAGCUCGUAUAAUAGAUAGUAUAGUAGCCUAAUUAUAAUAUAUAUAUAUUAUAUAUAGUAUAUAUAUAUAUAUAUAUAUAUAUAUAUAUAAUUAGGCUGGAAUACUAUUAAUAGUAAAACAUUCUUUUUACUAUCAAGUUUUUACCCUUGGAUGAAACGUUUAGGGUUAGUAUGAUAUUAGUCAGUUUAGAGUUAAGGUGGUUCCCUUAGGGUUGAGUGGUCGCCACAGGGUUAUAGUAUUUAAUCCAAUGGUUAGAAAUGAUGAAAAGAGUUGAUCUCAAAGGCUAAAAAACUGGUACAACAAUGGCAUUUUGCUACUAAUAGUGCCAUCCAAUCUUAUAUAUAUAUAUAUAUAGAGAGAGAGAGAGAGAGAGAGAGAGAGAAUUAAGUUGGAACAUAUGCUAAGCCUACCGUCUACAAAAAGAGUAAUCCAUUUUCUAAGAUUUAAAUUUUUAAAAAAGUUUAGCAAUGAAAAAAGGGAUGAUAAGAAUAGAAAUAUGGACUAAUAAAAUUAUAACCAACUUUUGGUUGUAGGACUAACAACGUUAUAUCUAUAUUUCCCAGGUGAUAAUUUUUGGGCGGUUCAAAACAUUUCAUUCUUUGUCGGUAUUCUUUAACGCAUUUAUAUAUGGACCAACUGCCAAGCAAUUUCAGAUCGAGAUGGUCAACUAUGUUAGAUAUAGUAUCCUUAUAUCUAUAUAUCUUUAUUAUACAAAGAUUUCGAAUCAAAAUAUGGAUGCUAAACAAAUAUUGAAUUUUAUAUAUCUAUAUAUGUAUGAGUUGGACUUACAUAUUUGGACGAAUAAGAAUUCUUCUUCUUCUUUUUUUUUUAGAGAUAGAUAGCACGCUAUCCGUUUCGUUUAUUUUAUUUAGAAAUAAACUUAGCUGGAAAUAUGAAUCAACUAGAAUUCGAACUUGAGUCUCGAGUACCAACCACAGAAUCUUUUGCCACUUGCUCUAGGGACGGUCGGUUGGACGAAUAAGAAUUCACUACGGGGCAUAUUUGACCUUGUGAGUGCUGUUGAGGGAAAGAAAAGUCUAAUGAUAAGUUUUUUUUUUUUUAGAGAGAUUGGUAGCAUGCUAUCUAUUUCGUUUAUUUCAUUUAAAAAUAGAUUUAGCUGGAAAAGUCAAUCAACUAGGAUUCGAACUUGAGUCUCAAAUACUAAACAUCAAGUCUUUUGCCACUUGCUCUAAGGAUGGUCGGUAAGUCUAAUGAUAAGUUGUUUGCAUAUAUGUAUGAUCUGUUUGUCUCUAUAUCUAAUUUUUUAUAUCUGAAUAGUAUCAUGAUUCAUUGAUUCGAACAGUGUAAGCACCGAAUAUCUAUAUCCUUAUAUGCAUUCGAAUUCCGGGUAAAUACACUCGGAUAUAUAUCAUAUACAGUAAUGUAAGCAGGCAAACAACAAUUAAUGAAGGUGCAAAAUCAAAUUUGACACUUAGGAAAGCAAAUGUAGUGCAACUAGCUUUUCCUUUAAAAUUGUUUGGAAAUGCGAAUACAUCUAGAAAGCUAUUUGGUUGCAUACAUUUUCAACUGCAUUGCAGUUGAAAAUACAUGUAUCUAUUAAUUUUUUGUUUAGUUUGGUAUAGUUAAGCCCAACUACUGCAGUUAUAUAUGCAUGAGAAGACCCAAUUGCAGCAGUUGCAGUUGAGCCGGAAUCGACUCUCCCAUUAAAAAAAAAACAAAGUAUGAUUUUUUUUUUUCAUACGUUUUUUUUUUAAUUUUUUUUUUUUAAAUACAUAUUCAUAAAAUCUGAUAGGAUUUAGUAAUGUCUGUUAGGGUCAAUAAAUUUUUUUCAUAUGCUUUUUAUUUUUCAGUUUGCUAAUUUAAUAAUAUCUAAAUUUUUAUUUUGACCAAAUUUAUAAUAUAUUUAUAUUUAAAACUUAUUAAAUUCAUAUAUAAUUUUAUAAUAUAUAAAUUAUAUAUAGAUAUAAAAAUCUUAAUUAAUAAUUAAAAAAUAAUUACGUUAUGCUAAGAAUAGAUAAUCUCACCUUUCUAUCUAAAAAUUGACAGAAUUUACAAAUACAAACUUUUGCAAACUACCAAACAGAAAAAAUAUAAUUGCAGCAGUUGCAAUUGCAUCAAACUAAACAGACUAGGGCUUAGUUUAGUAUUGAGGUCUAUCUAACGCUAUUCGAUAAAAUAGAGUUGAGAAAAAAGCAUAUAAAGAUAUGCUUCUGCAUUCUCCGGUGGGACCGCAGAAAAUAUAUCGUAACCGACUCAUCGCGAUAUGCGGAACGCAAUAUUACGUACGGAAACAAACAAGGUAUUUUUCAAACGUACUUUCUUACCACACGUAACGUAAUCUUCCCGCAAUUCUAAACGAAGCCUAGGUACAGUUAUAACUGUAACAUAUACUUUUAAUUAUAUUAUUUUUAUAGCUACAUCAAACCAAACAGCCCUAACGGAGACGAAGUCUAUUGUCUUAGUUAUUAGCUCUUUUUCAGUACAGAAAGAUUAAUUAUUUAGUGUUCAAAUUGUGCAACUCCUGAAUGAACUCCUCCAGGGCUAUGUAGGAGCUCCCGCCUUCCCUCACCGCCUCCACCGCCUUCCUUCCGAGCUCCUUGGCCCGAUCCCUGACCGCCCUCCCUCUUUCGCCCCGCACCGCCUCCGCCAGCGUCCGCGCGAGCUCGUGGGGGUCGGGCACCGCCGCCAAACCGCCGUCGCACGCGGGGAGCGCCACGCCGGCCUCCUCGACCAGCAGCCGCGCGUUCACGUGCUGGUCGGCGGUCAUCGGCCACGUCAGCAUCGCCACCCCGGCCGACGCCGCCUCCACCAGCGAGUUCCAGCCGCAGUGCGUCACGAACCACCCGACCGCCGCGUGCGCCAGUAUCGCCACCUGCGGGGCCCACCCCCGCAGCACCAGCCCCCGCCCCCCGACCCUCUUAUCGAACCCCUCCGGCACCUCCGUGCCCCCCCGCGCCGCCCACACGAACACCGCCCCGCUCCGCUCCAGCGCCGCCGCCGCCGCCGCCGCCUGCGCCGGCGUCAGCACCGCCAGGCUCCCGAAGCACACGUACACCACCGACCCCUCCGGGAACCGGUCGAGCCACGCCGACACUUCCGCCGCCGGCACCGAGCUGGGCCCGCCGCGGUCAUCGGCGGCGCCGGCGCCGCCGACCUCCGCGGCCGCGGCGGCUAGGGGCCCCACCGCCCACACCCGCUUCCGCGCGAGAUCGUCGAGCGGGCGCUCCAAGUAGGCCUCCUCGAGCGCCUCGAGCGAGUUCGCGACGAAGCCGUGGCUCUCGAGGUUCCAGAGGAAGUUGCGCCGCACGGAUUCGGAGAGCGGGUCGCCUUCCUUGUACGACCUGAAGAGGCGGGAGAGCUUGGGCAAGGGGUAGCUCGGGGAGUUGGGUAUGGAGGGGAAGGGGACGAGGUAGUCCUCGCCCUCGCCCUCGCCCUCGCCCUCGCCCUCGGGCCUCUUGGGCAUGCGCAGGAAGAGGGAGUGGAUCACGGCGGUGCCGAGGACGCCGGAGGGGGAGAAGACGAAGCCAGGGACGCCGAGCUCGGCGGCGAGGGGCUGGGCCCAGCCCACGGAGAUGUCGGAGACGACGGCGCAGACGGGCCUCGGGUGGGCCCGGGCCCAGGAGAGGAGCGGGCCGUGGAGAGAGGCGAGGGCGAGCAUCAGGAUGCCGAAGUAGGUCGGGGCCAUGUCCUUGGCGUUCUCGAGGCCCGGGGGGAGGGAGGGGUGGGAGAGGGGGAGGGAGAGGGGCUGGAUGGAGGGGGACUUGGAGAGGAGAGGGGAGAGGAGGGGGAGG